AGUGAACGCUGGCGGUAGGCCUAACACAUGCAAGUCGAACGGCAGCACAGUAAGAGCUUGCUCUUACGGGUGGCGAGUGGCGGACGAGUGAGGAAUACAUCGGAAUCUACUUUUUCGUGGGGGAUAACGUAGGGAAACUUACGCUAAUACCGCAUACGACCUACGGGUGGAAGCAGGGGAUCUUCGGACCUUGCGCGAUUGAAUGAGCCGAUGUCGGAUUAGCUAGUUGGCGGGGUAAAGGCCCACCAAGGCGACGAUCCGUAGCUGGUCUGAGAGGAUGAUCAGCCACACUGGAACUGAGACACGGUCCAGACUCCUACGGGAGGCGGCAGUGGGGAAUAUUGGACAAUGGGCGCAAGCCUGAUCCAGCCAUACCGCGUGGGUGAAGAAGGCCUUCGGGUUGUAAAGCCCUUUUGUUGGGAAAGAAAAGCAGCAGGUUAAUACCCCGCUGUUCUGACGGUACCCAAAGAAUAAGCACCGGCUAACUUCGUG
Molecule: ribosomal RNA, 492 nt
Filed under: uncultured bacterium
Lineage: Bacteria
Description: partial 16S ribosomal RNA
Rfam family: Bacterial small subunit ribosomal RNA
Source: RNAcentral